UCUACGCCCAGCAACUACCGUUAACGCCCGCGUCAUCCGUAUUACCGCGAAGGAAGGCACAGAGAUGGUCGGGAACUAUUCUGCGGGCAACGUCAAUCGGUGCGGUUAUUAACCUGAAGACUUUACUCCGCGCUCAAACUACUAUAGUCACCGAAGGCCUUGGUGACACACGCUUCGGGGGUGAAUACGGCUAGAGCUCACAUGUGAAAUAUUGUAGAUGGGUGUAUAACCUAGGAGUAUAUACUGUCUUAUAAGGUGCAGCGCGCCACGUUAUACAUCUGGGGCAAUUUAAGAAUCCUGGGAUAUAUUAUUCGUUAUAAUAUGUUGUAUUUCAUUAGUUAUCAUUAGUGUUGGGAAUAAUAUCGGUUACUUUGAGAAAAUUAGAGUGUUUGAAGCAGGCUUAUUGCCUUGAAUACUGCAGCAUGGAAUAACAAUAUAGGAUUUCGGUUCUAUUUUGUUGGUUUCAAGGGCAGAAAUAAUGGGUAAUAGGCACAGUCGGGCGUGGAUAACCUGGUAUGCUAUGGUGGUAUGGAUGUACGGUUUAUGGCUG
Molecule: ribosomal RNA, 550 nt
Filed under: Sarcocystis hominis
Lineage: Eukaryota; Apicomplexa; Conoidasida; Eucoccidiorida; Sarcocystidae
Description: partial 18S ribosomal RNA
Rfam family: Eukaryotic small subunit ribosomal RNA (bases 353-550)
Source: RNAcentral